GGGUGCCAUCAUACCAACGUUAAUGCACUGGAUCCCAUCGGAACUCCGCAGUUAAGCGCGCUUGGGCUAGAGUAGUACUGGGAUGGGUGACCUCCCGGGAAGUCGUAGUGUUGCACCCU
Molecule: non-coding RNA, 119 nt
Organism: Picea glauca (white spruce)
Lineage: Eukaryota; Viridiplantae; Streptophyta; Pinopsida; Pinales; Pinaceae
Source: Rfam